RNAcentral lists this transfer RNA (123 nucleotides) under Thermochaetoides thermophila DSM 1495. Its description in RNAcentral is "Chaetomium thermophilum var. thermophilum DSM 1495 tRNA". It matches the Rfam family "tRNA". From Rfam's summary of the family: Transfer RNA (tRNA) molecules are approximately 80 nucleotides in length. Their secondary structure includes four short double-helical elements and three loops (D, anti-codon, and T loops). The record is from Rfam by way of RNAcentral. Lineage: Eukaryota; Fungi; Ascomycota; Sordariomycetes; Sordariales; Chaetomiaceae.
GCCCGCAUGGCUCAGUGGUAGAGCGUGACACUAGUAAGCGGAUUUGGGGUGUCACUGGGUGACAUGUUUCUUCUAGCCCGCAUAACUAUGUCAAGGUCGUCAGUUCGAUUCUGGCUGUGGGCA